Molecule: transfer RNA, 73 nt
Filed under: bacterium
Lineage: Bacteria
Also listed under: 2 other names
Description: tRNA-Arg
Rfam family: tRNA
About the family: Transfer RNA (tRNA) molecules are approximately 80 nucleotides in length. Their secondary structure includes four short double-helical elements and three loops (D, anti-codon, and T loops).
Source: RNAcentral
GCCCUUGUAGCUCAGGGGAUAGAGCAACUGCCUCCUAAGCAGUAGGUCGCAGGUUCGAAUCCUGCCGAGGGCG